CCUACGGGGGGCAUCAGUGGGGAAUAUUGGACAAUGGGGGGAACCCUGAUCCAGCCAUGCCGCGUGUGUGAAGAAGGCCCUCGGGUUGUAAAGCACUUUCAGUGAGGAAGAACGCCUGGUGGUUAAUACCCAUCAGGAAAGACAUCACUCACAGAAGAAGCACCGGCUAACUCCGUGCCAGCAGCCGCGGUAAUACGGAGGGUGCGAGCGUUAAUCGGAAUUACUGGGCGUAAAGCGCGCGUAGGUGGCUUGAUAAGCCGGUUGUGAAAGCCCCGGGCUCAACCUGGGAACGGCAUCCGGAACUGUCAAGCUAGAGUGCAGGAGAGGAAGGUAGAAUUCCCGGUGUAGCGGUGAAAUGCGUAGAGAUCGGGAGGAAUACCAGUGGCGAAGGCGGCCUUCUGGACUGACACUGACACUGAGGUGCGAAAGCGUGGGUAGCAAACAGGAUUAGAUACCCCGGUAGUC
RNAcentral lists this ribosomal RNA (465 nucleotides) under Vreelandella stevensii. RNAcentral's name for it is "partial 16S ribosomal RNA". It matches the Rfam family "Bacterial small subunit ribosomal RNA", at positions 338 to 795 of the family's 1533-position model. The record is from RNAcentral. Lineage: Bacteria; Pseudomonadati; Pseudomonadota; Gammaproteobacteria; Oceanospirillales; Halomonadaceae.